RNAcentral lists this long non-coding RNA (999 nucleotides) under Glycine max (soybean). RNAcentral describes it as "long non-coding RNA (GMAX_LNC001246)". Lineage: Eukaryota; Viridiplantae; Streptophyta; Magnoliopsida; Fabales; Fabaceae. The record is from RNAcentral.
AAACUAGACAGUUAAUGCUAGAAAGGAAGCCUUAGCUGAGUCUCUUCCAGGUCAAACGACAUUUUCUACAUCUUUGCACUCAGCAAUAACGACCUUGGACAGCAAAAGAAUUGUUAACCUGGAAUGAUUUUGAAAGACAUACUUUAUUAUGAUAUAAUGCCACCAAACACUCAAUCAAAAUCACUAAAUUAAGAAUUUGGGAAAACCUCACAUAUAAUUCAAUAAAGUGAAAGUUUACACAGGUCACAGUUGACAAGGAAAUAUAUAAUUGCAUGGUGGGUGAUUGUUAAGAGCAUGUAUGCAUUAAAUUAAGAGCCACUUCAAAGUAAACUUCUCAAUAAAUUUAAAAAUAAAACGAAUCAAAGAAGUAAAUUUAUUAAACUUGUCUAACAAAUUAAAAUUAAUUUAUUCACUUCACCUUUCUCUAUAUGUUCUCUCUUCUAACAUUUUCACAAGUUGAGGUGUUCGAGUUGAUUUUAAAACUAUGAAGCAAUUUAAUUCAUUUUAUCUCUUUAGUUUUUAUUUCCUUCUCACUUCAAUACUUAUUGAAAAAUUUAACUAAACUAGCCAAAGGUUGCUUAGGUAGUGCUCAAAACGAUAAAGGAAGUGGAAGAAAAUUCACGUGACAGGUUCUACAGGAGGGUCUCUGAUUGAAAACAAUAGCAAGCAUUUGGAGUAUGUCUCAAGAGUCUCAUAACUUGAUCAAGACUAAGGCUUGUCAUGCAUAAUACCCACAUUAGAGAGAGUGAUCAGAGGAGAACAAAACCAAUUAAUAACAGAAAAAAAUGCCCUCAUUGGAUUUAGGUAAGUGAAGUUACCGUGUACAAAGCAAAAAAGAUUUUUAUAUUAUUGAUUUUGAGUCUAUUAAAGGGAUUGUCCAAGCAAGCAUUCACCUUACUGUCUUAGCCAGAAGGAAACCCGAAGACCCUUGGCAAAUGUGCAGUACAGUUGGACAACAAAGCCCGAGCGAGCCAACAAGUCCAGAGCACACUGUAGGGC